Molecule: long non-coding RNA, 237 nt
Filed under: Panax ginseng (ginseng)
Lineage: Eukaryota; Viridiplantae; Streptophyta; Magnoliopsida; Apiales; Araliaceae
Description: long non-coding RNA (PGIN_LNC017887)
Source: RNAcentral
GACUUCUUAUGUAAGAAUCAAUAAUCAGACCCGGAACUUCUUAGGGGACCCUCUACUAUAAUCUCUCAUAUACUCUGGUGAUGCCACCCGUUGGCGCCGUUCAGACCGUAACGUCCAUUAUCAAGGUCCAGAGAGUGCGACCCACAUUUACUUCUUUAUUCGGGAGAGCCUUUUGAUCAAUGAGAUUUGGUUCGACUUUGUGGUGUAGACUCCCAACGCAUGUGCCGACCCGGAAAA